Molecule: ribosomal RNA, 253 nt
Filed under: uncultured bacterium
Lineage: Bacteria
Description: partial 16S ribosomal RNA
Rfam family: Bacterial small subunit ribosomal RNA
Source: RNAcentral
UACAGAGGGGGCAAGCGUUGUUCGGAAUUACUGGGCGUAAAGGGCGCGUAGGCGGCCUGCUAAGUCGAACGUGAAAUCCCCGGGCUUAACCUGGGAAUGGCAUUUGGGACUGCAAGGCUUGAGUGCGGCAGAGGAGACUGGAAUUCCUGGUGUAGCAGUGAAAUGCGUAGAUAUCAGGAGGAACACCGAUGGCGAAGGCAGGUCUCUGGGCUGACACUGACGCUCAUGCACGAAAGCGUGGGGAGCAAACAGG